UUAAGUUAAUAAGGGCGCACGGUGGAUGCCUUGGCACUAGAAGCCGAUGAAGGACGUGACUAACGACGAAAUGCUUUGGGGAGCUGUAAGUGAGCAAUGAUCCAGAGAUGUCCGAAUGGGGGAACCCGGCAGGUAAUGCCUGUCACUCAUUACUGUUAAGGUAAUGUAGAGGAAGACGCAGUGAACUGAAACAUCUAAGUAGCUGUAGGAAGAGAAAGCAAAAGCGAUUGCCUUAGUAGCGGCGAGCGAAACGGCAAGAGGGCAAACCGAAGAGUUUACUCUUCGGGGUUGUAGGACUGCAACGUGGACUUAAAGAUUAUAGAAGAACUACCUGGGAAGGUAGGCCAAAGAGAGUAAUAGCCUCGUAUUCGAAAUAGUCUUUAUACCUAGCAGUAUCCUGAGUACGGCGAGACACGAGAAAUCUCGUCGGAAUCUGGGAGGACCAUCUCCCAACCCUAAAUACUCUCUAGUGACCGAUAGUGAACCAGUACCGUGAGGGAAAGGUGAAAAGCACCCCGGGAGGGGAGUGAAAUAGAACCUGAAACCGUGUGCCUACAACAAGUUCGAGCCCGUUAAUGGGUGAGAGCGUGCCUUUUGUAGAAUGAACCGGCGAGUUACGAUAUGAUGCGAGGUUAAGUUGAAGAGACGGAGCCGUAGGGAAACCGAGUCUUAAUAGGGCGCAUUAGUAUCAUGUCGUAGACCCGAAACCAUGUGACCUACCCAUGAGCAGGUUGAAGGUGAGGUAAAACUCACUGGAGGACCGAACCAGGGCACGUUGAAAAGUGCUUGGAUGACUUGUGGGUAGCGGAGAAAUUCCAAACGAACUUGGAGAUAGCUGGUUCUCUCCGAAAUAGCUUUAGGGCUAGCGUCGAUGUUAAGUCUCUUGGAGGUAGAGCACUGUUUGGGUGAGGGGUCCAUCCCGGAUUACCAAUCUCAGAUAAACUCCGAAUGCCAAUGAGAUAUAAUCGGCAGUCAGACUGCGAGUGCUAAGAUCCGUAGUCGAAAGGGAAACAGCCCAGACCACCAGCUAAGGUCCCAAAAUAUAUGUUAAGUGGAAAAGGAUGUGGGGUUGCACAGACAACUAGGAUGUUAGCUUAGAAGCAGCUAUUCAUUCAAAGAGUGCGUAAUAGCUCACUAGUCGAGUGACCCUGCGCCGAAAAUGUACCGGGGCUAAAACAUAUUACCGAAGCUGUGGAUACCUUUAUAGGUAUGGUAGGAGAGCGUUCUAUGUGCGAAGAAGGUGUACCGUGAGGAGUGCUGGAGCGCAUAGAAGUGAGAAUGCCGGUAUGAGUAGCGAAAGACAGGUGAGAAUCCUGUCCACCGUAAGACUAAGGUUUCCAGGGGAAGGCUCGUCCGCCCUGGGUUAGUCGGGACCUAAGGAGAGACCGAAAGGUGUAUCCGAUGGACAACAGGUUGAUAUUCCUGUACUAGAGUAUAUAGUGAUGGAGGGACGCAGUAGGCUAACUAAACCAGACGAUUGGAAGUGUCUGGCCAAGCAGUGAGGUGUGAUAUGAGUCAAAUGCUUAUAUCUUUAACAUUGAGCUGUGAUGGGGAGCGAAGUUUAGUAGCGAAGUUAGUGAUGUCACACUGCCGAGAAAAGCUUCUAGCGUUAAUUAUACUCUACCCGUACCGCAAACCGACACAGGUAGUCGAGGCGAGUAGCCUCAGGUGAGCGAGAGAACUCUCGUUAAGGAACUCGGCAAAAUGGCCCCGUAACUUCGGGAGAAGGGGCGCUGACUGAUGGUCAGCCGCAGUGAAUAGGCCCAAGCAACUGUUUAUCAAAAACACAGCUCUCUGCUAAAUCGUAAGAUGAUGUAUAGGGGGUGACGCCUGCCCGGUGCUGGAAGGUUAAGAGGAGUGCUUAGCGUAAGCGAAGGCAUGAAUUGAAGCCCCAGUAAACGGCGGCCGUAACUAUAACGGUCCUAAGGUAGCGAAAUUCCUUGUCGGGUAAGUUCCGACCCGCACGAAAGGCGUAAUGAUUUGGGCACUGUCUCAACGAGAGACUCGGUGAAAUUUUAGUACCUGUGAAGAUGCAGGUUACCCGCGACAGGACGGAAAGACCCCAUGGAGCUUUACUGCAGUUUGAUAUUGAGUAUCUGUACCACAUGUACAGGAUAGGUAGGAGCCUAUGACCUCGGGACGCCAGUUUCGAGUGAGGCGUUGUUGGGAUACUACCCUUGUGUUAUGGCUACUCUAACCCAGAUAGGUUAUCCCUAUCGGAGACAGUGUCUGACGGGCAGUUUGACUGGGGCGGUCGCCUCCUAAAAGGUAACGGAGGCGCCCAAAGGUUCCCUCAGAAUGGUUGGAAAUCAUUCGCAGAGUGUAAAGGUAUAAGGGAGCUUGACUGCGAGAGCUACAACUCGAGCAGGGACGAAAGUCGGGCUUAGUGAUCCGGUGGUUCCGUAUGGAAGGGCCAUCGCUCAACGGAUAAAAGCUACCCUGGGGAUAACAGGCUUAUCUCCCCCAAGAGUUCACAUCGACGGGGAGGUUUGGCACCUCGAUGUCGGCUCAUCACAUCCUGGAGCGGAAGUACGUUCCAAGGGUUGGGCUGUUCGCCCAUUAAAGUGGUACGCGAGCUGGGUUCAGAACGUCGUGAGACAGUUCGGUCCUUAUCUGUCGCAGGCGAAGGAUAUUUGAGGGGAGUUGACCUUAGUACGAGAGGACCAGGUUGAACUUACCAAUGGUGUAUCAGUUGUCGUACCAACGGCACGGCUGAGUAGCUAAGUAGGGAAGGGAUAAACGCUGAAAGCAUCUAAGUGUGAAGCCCACCCCAAGAUAAGAUAUCCCAUACCGUAAGGUAGUAAGAUUCCACGUAGACUAUGUGGUAGAUAGGUUGGAGGUGUAAGUGCAGUAAUGCAUUAAGCUGACCAAUACUAAUAAAUCGAGGGCUUAACCAC
Molecule: ribosomal RNA, 2897 nt
Filed under: human gut metagenome
Description: bacterial LSU rRNA
Rfam family: Bacterial large subunit ribosomal RNA
Source: RNAcentral